Molecule: small RNA, 69 nt
Filed under: Mesorhizobium sp. J18
Lineage: Bacteria; Pseudomonadati; Pseudomonadota; Alphaproteobacteria; Hyphomicrobiales; Phyllobacteriaceae
Description: suhB
Source: RNAcentral
AGGUUUCGCCUUAUAGGCACUUCCACACUUCGAGCCGGAUCCUUUGAUCCGGCUCUUUUUUUACAAUCA